UGCGUCACGGCCCGCCCGGCACCGCGCUCGGCACCGCCCAUGGCAACGCCUGUCCGCCGACGGGAUGCACGGCACUCUGCGAUGAUGGUUCCCAAGAGAGGUUAAUCACAUUGCCAUGUGAGCUUGAGCACGUGAGCCACUACAGGAAGUGCAGCACCCAAACAUCCAGGACAGCCAAUGCAGCACAUGGGCACUGAACACCACCAAGUCUUUUAAACUGAGAAGGGAGUGCCCCGGUUACUCGGCGUUCCGCCUGUCUGGGAAGUUCACGGGAGCGCCGCUCGGAACAACGGGCGUCACGUUUCUGUGAGUAAACGCGUAUAGCGGUGAAGGAACAGAUCCUUUGGAGGUGGGAUGGCACUCCUGAUCCCCAUCCUACCGACAGACGUUUCAGCUCCCCCGGAGCGCCGCUUCCAGGUACCGCAAAGUGUGCCGAGGAGCCACCGAGCAGCGGGUCGGACCUUGCUGUCGCUGCAGCUCCUGGAGAGCAAAGCAGCAGGGCGCACGGAGAUCCCUAUCUCGGGGUUACGAGGGCGUUAACCCGAAAGGAGCCUUCUGUACCAGUAGCAGCAAGGCUAAAAUAGUUCUGCUGCCCGGUUAUUUUGGUGUAUAAAAUGACACCAAUUUUUUUUUAAGUUUUACCUCAGUACCUAUGUUAGGAUGUCUGUUACUACAGUGGGGCCAGUUGCUCGUAAGUAGCAUGGAUACUGCUCUCUGUAUGUGUCCUUCUCUUCCCACCGGAGUAUAGGCUCUGCCUCCCUUAUUCACCAGUAGCUCAGUUAGACUUUAAAUUGUGUUAGGCUGUAAUUGGGCGUUAAAUGGUAUUAAGGACUAUAUUUUUCUUCUGUACUUCACACAGAACUCCCUGUUCUCAGAGCAGAUCUCUGCCAUGCCCAUCCCUGCUUCCAGUGCACCCCGAGAAAGGAAAACAGAUUCUUCUGCUUUAACCCUGGGGAGAGCUAGAGGCCCAUCACAUUUAUCACGAUGCCCCAGUUCUAUGUAGCACAUUUUACAGUGCCCCAUUUUGCAGCGUGGCUUUGACAGCUGAUUAUUCCAUUUCCUUUUUUGUUUGGAAACACAAACUGAUGUACAUCCUCUUAAGAAUUUCCUCUUGGACCUGACUUUGCUGACACCAUUCCUGCCAAGCAGCAGUUCUCACUUCAGCCCAUUCUCUCCCUUUAUCAGCAAGAGGCUCGGCCCUGUUCUAGUAACCUUCAUCCUCUUUGCUUUGUAAUCCCGUGCGAUUCCUACUCAGGCUCCCCCCUAGGUAAGCUACAGGCUCAUGUUUGCUGGGGGCUGUGAACUUUCCAGAACAAGAACAAAGACAAAAACCAAAACCUAAGAACACAAGUCACGGUAAUUCCUUUCACUCAUCGUCAACUGUGUAAGAAAUUAAACUGCUGUACGAUGAUGUGCAAUGUUUAGUGAUUGAUUUUAUUAAUGCAGGAAUUCCUGCUUCGCUCCAUACCCAUUCUGAUUUAAAGUGCAACAAUUAGAUCUGAUAUUUUUGUACAUCCAUACUUUGCAAGCGCUGUUCCUCAGACGACGUAGUUCAAAUUAUGCCUUGCAGUUGUAAAACCUGUCAGUUUUAGUACCGUUUUGCUUUAUUAACUAAAAUAAACUGUACAAAAAGCUGUAGAGUUACAUUAGCUUUGAACAAUGUUGGAUACACGUUCUCAGCCGAACUUUAGUGUGCAAACAUUUUACAUUUUUUAAAGUGACAAAAUUAAGCCAGCCUUGAAGUCAGAGUUCAUUACUACAUUACAAAAACAGGAGACGAGAUAUGGCAAAAGAAAUUCCCCACCGAAAUCAACACCAUUGUAUAAUUUUAUUUCUAAUUCUUAAAAAAAUAGAAAUGAAUUUAGAAGAGAAUCACAGUAUAAGGGCCCUAACAUAUUAGACUAUUACCAGGUACAUAAAAAUAGAAGACACAGAUUUCUUUGAAACUUUAAUCCUUUGAUUAAGCAGCAAGCAUAUCACUCUCCAGGCAAACACUGCUUAAAACAAACCCUACCCCCAAAAACAGGACGUGCAAACUGUAUGCACAUACUCUGCAAAGCACACAAUAAAGACAUUUUGCUAUGUACAUACUUAAUUAGUACUACAAACGCUAGGAAAUCCCUACUGUGUGCUACAGUGUUUGUAAAGGAAGAAAUACUACCCAUCUCUGCCCCUCCCGCCCCCUUCAAAUACAGCACCUUUGCCCAGUUAUAGAAUAUUUAAACAAGAUUAAACUGAAUUACAAUGUACUGAACAGUUUUAUAGCAGUUGGUGGCGGCCAACUCUACUGCAACACCCAACAUUCUGCAUACUGAAGUCUAUCGACGAGACAAGACAAAAAUUAGCAAAGGUACAAUACACACACCUGGGAGACUCAAUGCUUU
Phasianus colchicus (ring-necked pheasant) is the source of this 2384-nucleotide non-coding RNA. The record is from RefSeq and is a predicted model, not a curated record. Lineage: Eukaryota; Metazoa; Chordata; Aves; Galliformes; Phasianidae.